This 327-nucleotide ribosomal RNA is filed under the name uncultured bacterium. Its description in RNAcentral is "bacterial SSU rRNA". It matches the Rfam family "Bacterial small subunit ribosomal RNA", at positions 28 to 355 of the family's 1533-position model. The record is from RNAcentral.
GACGAACGCUGGCGGCGUGCUUAACACAUGCAAGUCGAGCGGUAAGGCCCUUUCGGGGGUACACGAGCGGCGAACGGGUGAGUAACACGUGGGUGACCUGCCCUCAGCUCUGGGAUAAGCCUGGGAAACUGGGUCUAAUACUGGAUAUGACUCCACGGUGCAUGUCGUGGGGUGGAAAGCCUUGUGCGGCUGAGGAUGGGCCCGCGGCCUAUCAGCUUGUUGGUGGGGUGAUGGCCUACCAAGGCGACGACGGGUAGCCGGCCUGAGAGGCGACCGGCCACACUGGGACUGAGACACGGCCCAGACUCCGUACGGGAGGCAGCAGGU